GAGUGGUCAUGAGAGGCUUCGAGGCUGCCAGGCUGCCAAGGAGGUGGAUAAAGAGAAGCGGGAUCAGUAGGUCCUGUGCACUCUGGUGUUCGGAGGAGGGCGCCGGAAAAGCAGGGAGCGGACGAGAAGGUAUGGAGACAAAGAAAAAAGGGCAGUAAAGUAUUACAGGACAAAAGGAGAAAUUAGGCUGUCAACAAGUUGGAGCCUGUACAGUUUCUGGAAAGAAACAUGGAACAGUUGGAGCUUGAGUGGUCCCCUAUCACUGUCUUGUGCAAAUUCCACUGUGGUAGGUAGGGAUCCAUCCUGGUCCCUGUGACAGUGAGGAGGGGUGAGGCUCUGGGACAUUCCAGAC
Molecule: non-coding RNA, 352 nt
Organism: Callithrix jacchus (white-tufted-ear marmoset)
Lineage: Eukaryota; Metazoa; Chordata; Mammalia; Primates; Cebidae
Source: RefSeq, a predicted model, not a curated record